AAUUUAGGAUAGUGGAAAAAUUCAGUAGUGACUAAACAUGUCUGUGAAAGCAUUAUUUGUGAGUGAAGGAAAGUAACUUAUGUGUUUUUUUCUGCUUUUACUAAACCGGCCAAUUUUUCUAGCAUUGUUAAGAUGCAGCUUAAAGAAAAGUUGGUGAAUAAUACCAAAAACCGUUUUCCUUAUUAGUAGCAUUUAUGAGAGUCUGAUGUCUAAAGUUUAAUGUCAGCAGAGCUCUGUGGUUGUGUCAUAUGUAGCAACAUAGAAACCCCUGGCAGUUAUCUCAGUGACUGUACUAGUGAGGAUAGGCUGAGUUAUGCUGCAGUAACAAAAAUCAAUAAACAAAACAAACUCAGAGUGUCAUAGAGGUUAUUUCCUGCUCAUGCAAAGUCUAUUGUGGGUCCAGGUGACCCUCCAGGGCAAGGUUCUUCUGUUCAUUUGGGCUUUGAUUUUUGGUUCCAUCAUCUCAACUGUGACCUCCUCAGUCCCCGUGGUUGGUGAGGAAAUGCAAGAGGGCUUUGCAUUGGCUAUUAGAGCUUUAGCCCAGUAGACUCCGAUAUCGCUUCUGCUAACAGACUAUUAGCCUAGAACUAGACACAUGGCUCCAGAUCCAGAAGGGCAGGGAAAGGUAAUCCUCCCACAUGUCCAGUAUGAGAAAGGACCAGAUAAAUUUAAGGACUAGAAGUCCUACCUGCUACUACAGUGAUUCAGACAAAAUUUCCUAUUUUCAAUGGUCUAUACAAAAUUACCUUUUCUACCUAGCAUCCAUAUUUUCUUUGUAAUUGCAUGGUAGGUGGUUUUUAUUUGUUGGAUCUGGCUAAUUGUCUCUGCUCUGCAACUAAGGCCUUAAUUGUAUUAAGCAUACAUGAUUUACACACUACUUUUAUACAUAUUAUCUCAGUUACUAUAACCCUGCAGUAAUCUGAGUAGAAAGGUAUUAUUACUUUUAGGAAGUAGUUUCAGCAAAGCUUAGAAACGUCCAAGUUUUCCUAGUCAUGUAAUGCUGAAGAUAAGAUUAAAAUCCAGGUCUUCUGACUAACAUCUUAUAUUCAUUGUACUAUACCAUAUUACUAUCUUUGUUGGAGCUCUUUAUGCUUAUUCCUUUCAAAUAAGUAAAAUUACUGUUACUGUUGUUCCCUUACUGUUGUUCCCUUAUGCAUGGAAGAUUAUGUAUCUGGUUGGCCUUAGAGUUUCAGACUUAGUUCAGUGUUUAUGACGUCUGGAGUUGUUUUGUCAUAAGCUUGCUGCAGAAAUCAUUAUUCCAAAAUUUCCUUAAAAGUCUAAAAUGAACUGUUUUAUUCCAUUUUAUUUGAUUCUCACAUAUGCUUUUUAAAAUUUUGGCUUAUUGGCCAUUAAAUUAAUUUUAUUAAAUGUUUGUAAUUACAGGGUCUUGGCCAACACAGCUCUGAUAUGUGCCAUUUGUACUUCUUUACCACUAAAUUGAGAUCUGUCAACUUUUAUGGUGUCUUUUAUAGUUCCUCUUACCCCAGAACGUUAAUGCUCUUUACAGAAACUAAACUCCUUGGAAUUAAGUGUUUGCCUUUUUACCAAGGGAGAAAGUGAAGCCCACUAGAAGCUGUAAUGCAAAUUCUCAACUCCAGACCAGUCAUUCUCUUCAUGGCCCUGGUGUUAUAAAUAGCAACAUUCUGAAUUGAUUUUCCCAUAUCAAGCACUAACUCAAUUCAUCAUGCAUCUUCAAAUCCCUAUCACAGAGUGUGCUUCAAGGAAAUUCAACCUACAACACUCAAUUACACAAGAUUUCAUCACAUUCUAUACCUGAAGCCCCAUUCUGCCUUUGGUCGAGUCUUGGAUAGCUUCUGCUGUCCAUCCCAGGCACUGCCCAGCCUUAUGGAACUAGGAUCACAAAGGAGAGAGUGGAAGGGGGAUCUUAAGACCAGAGAUCGAAGGGCAUCUUGGAGAUGAUCAGCUGCCUCAGGAUGAAGUUGAAAAUCUCCUUCCCAGUCACCAGCUGCCAGAAACUCAUUGAAGUGGAUGAUGAAUGCAAACUUCAUACCUUUAGUGAGAAAGGAUUGGCAUUUUAGUGGACUGGAUUAUCCACUCAUUUUCAAUUAAGUUUCCAUAUGGCAAAUUGAAGCUGACCCUAUUACAAUUAGAAAGCUAUGUGGAAGGAAGGAGGCCAUAAAUAAUAUUUCUAGUCCUUUAAAUUACUUGAUUGAGAUAACCUGGGAGAUCCAGACCAGAUGGUGACAGAGGAGGCUCCUGAAUUUUUUCUUCUCAUGGAUGCACUGAGUACAGCCACACGAAGCAAUUUCCUGUGAGAGAAAUCCAGAAAUGAGUUGAAUGACUCCUACACACCAGAUGACAAGCAACAUCCACCUUAAAACAGCCAAACUGCCUCUUCACCUUACAUCAGGCUCAAGUUUUUACCCUCCAUGUAUUUUAGCCUUCAAGGAAUCUCUCCACCAGGGAGUGAGAGAGUAAGACAGAGCUCUGGGAUUCCUCUGUUGGAUGUCACCUCUCCUACAUGGGACAAAGAUCACACUCUGCCUUGAAACUCAGUAAUCAAAAAGGUAGGCUCUGUUUGCUGGGUCCUUCAAAGCCUCUCGUGCUGUAAGGGAAUAGGGGGCUCUCUGCCUUACCUGGAUAUUGGUCCUAAAGGGAUGAUGUCUGGGAGCCAGGCAAAAUCUAUGGCUGUAGCUGUUGUAACUUACAUAGUCCCAAAUCAAGGCAGGUGGAUUAUGUAUUCUCUUUGUUUUCACUCUGGAUUUAUAGGAAGGAAGUGUUAUUUUUCCCCUUGUCCAAAUAUCUUAAAUCAUUCAAAGGCAGCAUUAGACUUUAAGCAGAAAAAUGCAAAUGUAACUGGGACACUUACAAUGACCUAAAUGCAUGCUGAUUACCUUUUCUGUUAUUUUCUGCCCUUAAAUAAAGAAAAUAAAAUAAAUGUCAGCAGUAAGAAAAAUGAAAGUAGGUCAGACUACAGAACCAUUAGAUCAAAAGCAGUUAGAGCCAAACACACCUUUCCCAAGUGGGAAAGUGAGAAAUCAACAUGUAAAUGAAAAGCAUUUGAAGAGCUAUAGCAGUUCCUCUAUUAGCCUUGGCAAUUAGCAGGAGGGCAUUAAAUUAUUCUGGCGACUGCAUCUUGUAACUGGAACAAAGUGGAUGUGAUGGUACUGUUACUGAAAGAGAUGAAUCACUCCAAAACAGGACUUCCAUUGGGUGGGACUCAUAUUAUUUAGAAAAUGAGGAGAAGAAUGGACAAUGAAGGAUGUUCCUUGCUGAUAUCAUGGGAAGAACAUCUGAUUUUGCAUUAAGCAUGUGUGUGUGUGUGUGUGUGUGUGUGUGUGUGUGUGUGUGUGUGUGUGUAUGUAAAGAUCUGUGGGUUCUUUUUUUUUUAAGCCUAAUACUAAUACUACCAUGUGACAAUGCAUACGGUAUGACCAUGGAUUCCUACUGAAGACAUGCUGAUGGUAUUCAUUCUUGUAAAUGAUUGUUACGCUAUUCCUUGUUGAAAAUUUGCUUUUAAUGUCUCAUUAUAUGGGGUCAAGUUGACAUACUCAUCCUUGCCCUACAAAGUUUAACAGAGUUGAUAUAGGUAUGAAGGAAAGAGAGGCAGCUAAAUAAAUGUGGAACAUGCCUGUUAAUGAAAAGUCACUCACAAAGAUGUUUAUAGAAUGAGAUAAGAUCUCGAGAGAAAGCCUCUGAAAGAAGGAAUGGGAGGAGUUCUAUGAAUGUAAGUAAGCUCUAGGAAGGCUCUAAGAACCAUUGGAAGAUUUUGGAGAGUUAACAAUGAAUGAUAAUCCACUAUAUGUACUAACUCUUCCAAGAAUUUGAACCCAUUUCUAGUCCUGAUACAGAUAUGUUUGUUCUAGUCCAUAUAAUAUGUUUGUUACCCCAAAUUGUCAAAAUUGCUGUGAAUGUAAUAUGAAUGUGAAUAAAAAUACCUUGAAUUUUUACCUGAAAAGCCAAAGGUAUUAAAUGAAGAAGACCCAAAAGAUUUUGAAUUUUAGAGAAAGGUGUAUCUCAAAUUUCGUUGUGCCUAAUCUGUGGGAGAAAUAAAGUCCUAUCUUUACUAGUAGUUGUUAGCCUUUGGAAUGUACCAUUUUCCAUAUCAUUCAAGAAAAAUGGAGGAAACAUAAGAGGGCUCACAAUUUUAUACAUUCUAUAGUAUGACAGUUGGAAAUUACUUCUGAUCUUUUUGCCCUGGUCUGACAAAUGACACUUUCAGGUAGCAAGGAAGAGGAACUUCCUUUUCCUGUAGCAACAUAGCUCAUAAGAUAGGGGGUCUGAAAAGGUCCUUUGAAUUUGUGACAAACAAAUUAUUUUUAUUUUUAAAUGAUCACCAUGAUGUUUACCCUAUUUAAUAUGAAAGUGGAAAUACAUGCUUUAAUGUUGAUUUAGUAAUCUUUAGACUCUAUAGGUUGUAUCCUGGAUUUAUAUUAACAACAACAACAACAAAAACCUCAUUGAGAAAUUUAUAAAGAAAAGCAAAAGACCCAGAAUAGCCAACAUAAUAUUGAAGAAGAAUAAAGUUGGAGGACUGACAUUGACUUCAAAACUUUAUAUAAAUCUACAGUAAUCAAAACAGUGUGGUAUUGGCAAAAGAAUAGGCAAAUAGAGCAGUGAAACAGAGAGCUGAGAAACAGACCACACAAAUAUAGUCAACUAAUCUUUGGUGAACCAACAAAUGCAAUCCACUGAAGAAACAAUAGCGUUUUCAACAAAUGGUGCUGGAACAGCUGGCCAUCCACAGGUAAAAAACACAACAAACAACCAAACCAAACAACAACAAAAAAAUUAAAAAUCAAAGGAUCUAUACAUACACUUUACAUCUUUCACAAAAAUCUCUCAAGAUGAAUCACAGACCUAAAUGUAAAACACAAAACUUCAAAACUUCUAGAAGAUUACACAGCAGAAAAUCUAGGUGACCUAGGCUAUGAGACUCUAGAUACAAUAACCAAAGAACUACCCAUGAAAGAAAAACUGAUGAGUUGAACUUCAUUAAAACAGAAGACUUCUGUUCUGUAAAAAACAUUGUUAAGAGAAUAAAAAUUAAGCAGCUACAUUGGAGAAAAUGUUUGCAAAUACACACAUCCAAUAAAAGACUUGUAUCCAAAAUAUACAAACAACCAACCAGGACUUUGGGUUCUAGACUAUAUACCUGGAAUAUUCAUGAGAGAAUGGUUGCCCUUGUGCCCUGCCCCUUAGAUUUGACAUCCUAUCCAAAAUUAAAUUAGGCAAGGAGUUUAAGGAUUUCCACUUGUAACUUGCCACUAGGAAUUAUGUCUGUAUUUCUGUAUUGCCAUGUACAUGUAAACACAUUAAGUCCUAACUUCUCAAGAUGGCAGACACAUAUAUGGAGACACAGGGAACUUCUUGGGGAAAGGAACUAUUGACAGCAGCUCCAAAACCAAUCAGACAAGGGAGAAAAUGGAGCCAGUACUAUUCUUGCUCCAGGGCAAUCAGUAGAACCCAGAACUUUUGGGAUUAAUGGAUGAAUCUGAGUACUGGGGCCAUGGAACAUUGGUUUGCAUUUAUAGGUUUUAAAUAUGAAUAUGUAUAUUUCCAUUUGAUGUCUUUUUUUUGUGCUGGACUAAAGUUACAACUAUAGGCUCUGCCACUGCUGCUGUUUACCUUGCAUCUUUUUUUCCUUAGGCAUCUCACUCCUUUAUAACCAGUCAAGGAACUUGUUUCCCUAGCACACUUUGCAACCCAGGUCACUCCCUGAAGUGUUUCCAUCAGCUCCAAUUUGGCAAAAAUACAAAGCUAGACUUGCUUUGGGAAUUUCAGAAUGCAAAACAAUAGAAGCCUUCCCCCACACAUCAAGCUUAGUUACAUUGUCACCAUAUCUACCCAAGGAAUCAAAAUGCUCCCCAGUUAGAGUCUUGGUAGGCUUAAAUUCAUGUUUUACUUAAAAGGAUGUGAGGAGGGAAAAUAUUCUAUAUGAGCUGUUUGGGAAAGAAGACAGGAAAAAAAAAAAAAAAAACAUUCCGAAAUGCUCAUUGUGGUAAUGAUGCUCUGAAAGCAAUUUUUAGAAUGUCAUAUAUGCAAGCAUCAUUUUUAUUCCUGUCAGUAUGAAACAAACUUGAAAUGGUGAUGCUCGGUCAAAGUUUCCAAGUGCUUCCCAGUAGGCAGAGACAGGAUAUAAGAGAGGAAGCUAGUCAUGGCAUAGUCACCUGGCAAAAUUCCUAUUUCCAAUGGAAAUCAAUUUUUUUUUUGUUACAGCAGUUUUUUUCCAUUAUAUCCCUAGUAAGUCCUUCACAAGAACAAAGAGUGAUGAUGGCUUACUAUCUUGUUUGGCUUUGGAGUUUACCAGAAAGCACCUUCUCCUGGAAUUUGCCAUUGUUUCACACAACACGGGGCUCCCUUAGCCAAUGAAGAGAGGGGGGCAGUGGUGGUGGUUUUAAUUAGGUGUCAUAAUGAGUAUUUAUUUUUUGAACUUUUCCCUUGGCAAUCAGAAAUUUAGAAAAAUUGGGCUGUCUCUCUCUACUGCUUUAAAUGGUUUUAGUUAUUUUAGACUCCUUUUUUUUUAGGGUUAUAAAUGCUCUUACUGAAGACUGGGGAUUUCUUUAGUAGCACUGAGGAAAUCUUUCUUGCCAUCUAAGUUGGCUACUUUACAUGGAUCAUGCUUUGUUUAUGAAAAAUUAAUUCUGAUUCCAAAUAUGACAGGAUCUAUGAUUUUUUCCCCUUAUGUUUGCAAAACUGCAUGAAACUUUUUUUUAUUGCUGCCUUUGAAGUUUAAUUCUGUAGGAACCAUGUAGUCUUAUAGAAGCCCAGAAAAGGUAACAGAAUACUAUGAGAAAAUGGUAUUCAUAGAGUUCCCAGGGGAAAAAAGAUAGGAAAGGAAGAGAAAAGAAAAGAGAAAUCCUGCUGGUUCAGUACUCCCAACCCCAUGCCAGGAUUUUUGUUUCAGGCAACAAAGAUAAUCUGUGAAUCUGUGGGCACAUAUCUAAAGUCACUUAGACCUACACAUUUUAUGAUUGUCUCUGUCUGAUUAAACAAGCCUCAGAGACAUAAUGAAUAAUUUAUGAUAAAUCAAUGUCCACAUAGAAUAAAAGCACAUUUUAAAAGGAUUGUUUUAUGUCUAAUUCCCAAGAGAAUGCUAAGUUUGUCCCCUUUAGUGAGCUUUUUAUACGACUGUCUUAGUUUUUUAGAUUUUCAGUUUCAAAAAUAAUUAAAAAUAAGAAGUAAAUAUUGAAUAGCCCUGCAAAAUACACCUCGUGUAUUAUCCCAUUGAAUUUUCACAACACUGUGGGUCAGUUGGUAUCAGCACUGUAAGUGUUAGAGGUCUUAGCUCUGCAGAGGUCUUAGCUCUGCAGAUAAAUGGAAAUUUGGGAUCUCAUGUGACUUCUGAAAAUCUACCCUAAAUAGCACUAUCAGGUCUCAAUUCAAGUAUUUGAUAACCCAACUCUAGGCCUUUUCUGUUAUAUAAAGCCUCAUUUUUAAGAGAAAUUUCCCAGACUUUGAUACAGACCUAUGCAUGUGCUGGAGAAGUCUUGCACAGUCUUUGAAGGACAAGAAGGGAGCCACAGAAACUUUCCCCCAUGUGUUAGGUGGACAGAAAGGACAUUUGCUAUCUUGCUUAUAUUCUCUUGAUGUGAUAUGGCUGAGUCCUCACAAUUAUUCCCUUAAUCCACUCCCAGAUACAGAUAUUCAGAAAGGGAGUAAGUCCUAAACAUCUAGUGGUAUCAUAAAAAUAUGUUUUAUUGCCUUCUCCUGCUAUAUACCAACAAUUUCAAAUGUAUACUUGUAAAGUUAGCAUUGCCUCCCUUCUUUCCCCCUAUAUCUUACUAGAAAGGAAGGGUAAGAAGUACAGCAGAAGCACUCAGGAAUCUAAGGCCUCCUCUGGGUAUGCUGAAGUAUAAGGCUGGUGAGUUCUAGGUACGAACCUUUGAAUGUAUCUUUCAUUUCUAGUCUUCCUUGCCUCUAAACUUCAAGCUUCUUUUUGUAGAGCUAAAAUAACUACUUCUCCUUGGCCUUUUAUUUUUAAGAUUUUCAAGAGUUCAUAUAAAUAUUACACAGUAGCAGUGGCCCCAACAUGUCCUGGGCAUCUACCUUGUACAAAGCACUUGUGAGGAGACAUGUGACAUAACACCAGGGUAGGAUGCUUCAGGCACUUCAAAAGAUAACUCCUCAUUUCACCACAUCUCUAAUUGCUUCCGCUUUAUGCUACAGACUUCCUAGAGGAAAGAGAUGUGGUCUUCUGACCACCAAUAGGAUUGUGCAGAACAUAUCCAGUCAUCUGGAGCAGUUUUGGUCCAUUUAGAAUUUUUUUUUAAUUACACGGUAAUAGCAAUAUGAGAUAUUUUAAGGAAAAGUGACACAAUGUAUGGUUAACCAAAUAGUGCCUGAAACACAGUCAAUGUUUGGGAAAUGGUAGCUAUUAUAUUUUAGUAAGUUAUUUAGUAAUAACGCUGAAGGAAGUUGGAAUGAUGAAGGUAGGAAGUAGGGUCCAUGCAAACACUCCCAGAGCUUGGACUUGGGGAGAUACAGGCAUUUCUUCCUGAGCACAGUGGCAGCUACUAAGGAUUUUGUGAUCAAAGGUAACUUGGGAUCCUGCUUUAAGGUAUCACUGGACUGGUGGUUCCUGAUAAACUAUGUGAUAGUCGCUACAUAGGGACUUAACCGAGCGAUUUCAUCCUGAAUCCUUAACAGAUUCUUUGAAGUAUAACAGUUCAUUGAGGAUUGUCUGAAGUGCUCAGCAACAUGCAUUAGCUCUUCAGAUGCCCAAGGGCUUGCAUAUUUUGCAUCUUUCAAAUCAAGAUAUAUGGAAGAGUCAAAUGGGAAGAAUUACAGCAACGACGAACCUAAAGAACCUCAACUCAAUCCCCAAAUUCAACAAUUGCUUUUGAAUGCUUUCCAGGCAGAAUGGAAGAUAAAAAAAUAGGCAAGGUAAGAUCUUUGUGUACUUUGGAAAGGAUACAACACGAUUAACUACAAUACAUGUUUUAUAGUAGAGGCAGAGAUAACUAGAAUUUAUAUAGAAAGAAAAGAAACAUUAAUUCUGAGAGCAAGGAUCUGGAAAGCAGCCAAAGAAUAGGUGGAGCCUGGGUCUUGAAGGUUGGCUAGGAGGCUGAUAAAUGGAAGAGGGGAAAGAGUAUUUGAGGCAGAAAGAACACAUGAAUAAAGGCACACAAGUGGGAAAUAGAGAAAAUGACUGAAGAGAACUGCAGAUUAAAUGCAUUCAUAUGGUAUCUGAGAGGUGUGACCAAAGGUUGAUUCAUGGUAACAUUUCCCAGUUAGAGGGGUGAUAUAGUCUUGAUAAAGAAUAGUGAUGUCUGCAAGUGGAAAAUACCAGUUUCGCUCUGCCCUGUAGGGGAUGCAAGUAAUGAUCUGCCCACCCAGCUACUGCUGAUUACUACAGCUCAGGGAGCUCAGUUGGUCCAAUAGUUGCAGCAACAGAGAAAGGAAGCUGUAUAAUUGAUUGACAGCUUCCCAGAAAGCUAGGGUCUGCUCCCUUCAUUAUUUGUUCUCUUUUCAUUCUCACUUGGCAAUUUAUAGUGUUUGAGUGUGGAUGAAGGGAAUGAGUUUGUUUUACUGAAAAGAAAAUGUCAAGAUCCAUAGACUCAAAUGUAUUUGCUUAUAGCAAUGUGAUAACUAUGUGUUAACCCUUUCCCUGAAGAUCUGAUUUAAGCUGACUGGAGUCAGAAGUAUUAUCAUUUUUGUAAUACCACUAUCAUGCCCUCUCUCUAAGAAAUGUAUAGGAUUGUCCCAAUGUUUGGAUUGCUUGCAAGAACAGUUUAUCCAUUAGGCACAAUAGGCAUAUUGCUGAUGACCCUCAACACAUUAGGGGACCAUAAAAAUUUUUUAAUUUCUUUUAAAAUCAGGAGAGAUAACACACCUUUGAAAUUGAAGAAAAAGUUUCAUUUUCUUCAAAUGAAAAUUUAAAGAAAAUUAAAAUUUUAGGGUCCCUGAAAAAUCUAUUAAAUUUCGCCUAAAGUAGGAAAACAAUUAAAAUAUUUAAGGUUAUAUCCAAAGCUGGGGUACCUGGCUGUCCCAGUUGUUAGAACUUGGGACUCUAGAUUUCAGGCUUGUGGAUUCAGACCCCACAUUAGGUUUAAAGAUUACUUAAAAAAAUAAAAUCUUAAAAUUCUUAAAGUUGUAUCAAAAGUAAGAUUUGAAAUUAAUAUUAUUAUGAAAGAAGGAGCCUAUGAAGGCAAAAGUGCCCAGGCCCCACAAAAAUCAUAAUGUGGUCCCUCCUGCUCUGACACCUCAACAGAAGAUCUCUAACAAAAGAACUUCCCAUCUCUCUAAAAUACGACGAUGGAAAAGCCACAGAGCUUAAAAUAAAUGACUCAAACAAGAAUUUGAAGAAGAUCCUAGAAAUAUAAAUAACCUCUGGAAUCUUUUAAAAACUUGUUAUACCAAUACGAAAUGAUGUUUAAUGAACUGAAACUGAAGUGUUUUCUGUUUUAUUAUUGAGAUAAAUCCUUCAAAUCCCUAUUGCCUUUGUGACUGCUGAGCUAGGUGGCACUGUAUCUGAUCCAAGUUCAAAAUUUGUUCUCAUGAUCUGUACUUAGAACUGCUGCGGAAUCAAUACCGGUCCCAAAGAAUGAUCAUCAUGGUCACAAUGACUAGGUCAUGUAUCUUUAUGAUAUGUUCACUUUAAAUUCACAUUCCUGCCAAAACCUUGAAGGGAAGUCAUAGAGGUGGAAAAUGACAGUUUAAUUCUCUGGAUAGACUGGCUUCUGUCACAACAAAAAGCAUAGCUCAGUGAAAAGAAAAUUAAUUAUAUACUGAAUAAGGAGUCGUCAAACAUGUUGGUUUGUGUCAUAAAGAUCAAUCAACCAUUUGAUUGAUAAAAAAAAAAAUAAAUGACUCAGAUUUGAAUAUACUUUUGCCAUUUACUCUCCAUGUGACCCUGGGCAGGUUGUUAGCCUAGCCAAACUUCUGUUUGUUCAUCAGUUUAUGAAUAUCAAAACUAUCAUCCCUUCCUAUUUUUGGCCCUGCCAUAUUCAGCAGCUCAGUCCUUUAUGUUCACUGCUUUAGGAAAAUAUGAGUGAAUACCCAAGAGUAAAAUCUCUGGGUGAAACAAUAAAUAUGUAUUUAAUUUUAUGAAAAAAUGCCAGACUGUUUUUUGCAUAAUGAGUGUACCGUUUUGUAUCACCAAGAGCAAUCUAUGAAAGUUCCAGGUGCUCCUCAUCCCUGACAGUAUUUGGUAUUAUUAGUAUUACUUUAUCAUUCCAAUAGAUAUGUAGGAAUACAUCAUUCUGGUUUUAAUUUCAAUUUUUCUAAUGGCUAAUGAUGAUGAAUAUAUAUUCAUGUACUGAUUUUUCAUCCAUAUACCCCCUUUUCUAUCUGUUCAAGACUUGAAUAUUUUUGUUUGGGUUGCUUUUUACCUUACUGUUAAGGUUUGAGAGUUCUUUACAUAUUCUAGAUACAAGUCCUUUCUGAGGUAUGUAAACUACAAUAUUUUAUCCUUGAAUAUUAUAUCUGUCCAUUCCUGUAACAAUGUUUUUGAUAGAGCAUAAAUUUUUACAUCCAAUUUAUCAAUUUAUCAAUUGAUAAAAGAUUAUUAUUUCUCCAUUGAAUUGCUUUUGCAUGUCUGUUUAAAAUCAAAUGGCUAUUUUGUGUAUGUUUUUCAACUCUUCUGUUCCAAUGACCUAUAUAUUUAUCUCUUGGCUAAUAUUACACUGAUUACUGUAGU
Long non-coding RNA from Felis catus (domestic cat), 11602 nucleotides. RefSeq lists it as uncharacterized. Lineage: Eukaryota; Metazoa; Chordata; Mammalia; Carnivora; Felidae. The transcript has 8 exons. The record is from RefSeq and is a predicted model, not a curated record.